Molecule: ribosomal RNA, 492 nt
Filed under: uncultured bacterium
Lineage: Bacteria
Description: partial 16S ribosomal RNA
Rfam family: Bacterial small subunit ribosomal RNA
Source: RNAcentral
AGUGAACGCUGGCGGUAGGCCUAACACAUGCAAGUCGAACGGCAGCACAGUAAGAGCUUGCUCUUACGGGUGGCGAGUGGCGGACGGGUGAGGAAUACAUCGGAAUCUACUUUUUCGUGGGGGAUAACGUAGGGAAACUUAUGCUAAUACCGCAUACGACCUACGGGUGAAAGCAGGGGAUCUUCGGACCUUGCGCGAUUGAAUGAGCCGAUGUCGGAUUAGCUAGUUGGCGGGGUAAAGGCCCACCAAGGCGACGAUCCGUAGCUGGUCUGAGAGGAUGAUCAGCCGCACUGGAACUGAGACACGGUCCAGACUCCUACGGGAGGCAGCAGUGGGGAAUAUUGGACAAUGGGCGCAAGCCUGAUCCAGCCAUACCGCGUGGGUGAAGAAGGCCUUCGGGUUGUAAAGCCCUUUUGUUGGGAAAGAAAAGCAGCAGGUUAAUACCCCGCUGUUCUGACGGUACCAAAAGAAUAAGCACCGGCUAACUUCGUG